UACGUAGGCAGCAAGCGUUUGUUCGGAAUUACUGGGCGUAAAGAGUGUGUAGGCGGUGUUCUAAGUCUGUUGUGAAAUCUCCCGGGCUUAACCGGGAGGGUGCGGCGGAAACUGGAGUGCUUGAGGGUGGGAGAGGUAAGCGGAAUUCCUGGUGUAGCGGUGAAAUGCGUAGAUAUCAGGAGGAACACCUGUGGUGUAGACAGCUUACUGGACCACUUCUGACGCUGAGACACGAAAGCGUGGGUAGCAAACAGG
RNAcentral lists this ribosomal RNA (255 nucleotides) under uncultured bacterium. Its description in RNAcentral is "partial 16S ribosomal RNA". It matches the Rfam family "Bacterial small subunit ribosomal RNA", at positions 524 to 776 of the family's 1533-position model. The record is from RNAcentral.